UACGGAGGGUGCAAGCGUUAUCCGGAUUCACUGGGUUUAAAGGGUGCGUAGGUGGGCUAGUAAGUCCGUGGUGAAAUCUCCGAGCUUAACUCGGAAACUGCCGUGGAUACUAUUAGUCUUGAAUCUCGUGGAGGUAAGCGGAAUAUGUCAUGUAGCGGUGAAAUGCUUAGAUAUGACAUAGAACACCGAUAGCGAAGGCAGCUUGCUACACGAGUAUUGACACUGAGGCACGAAAGCGUGGGGAUCAAACAGGAUUAGAAACCCCA
RNAcentral lists this ribosomal RNA (266 nucleotides) under uncultured bacterium. RNAcentral's name for it is "partial 16S ribosomal RNA". It matches the Rfam family "Bacterial small subunit ribosomal RNA", at positions 524 to 789 of the family's 1533-position model. The record is from RNAcentral.